This 50-nucleotide small RNA is filed under the name Eubacterium ruminantium. RNAcentral describes it as "Streptococcus sRNA SpF36". It matches the Rfam family "Streptococcus sRNA SpF36". Lineage: Bacteria; Bacillati; Bacillota; Clostridia; Eubacteriales; Eubacteriaceae. The record is from Rfam by way of RNAcentral.
CAAAAAAAUCUGAUCACAAAUGUGGUCAGAUUUUUUUGUUUGGAAGAUCA